UACGGAGGGGGCUAGCGUUGUUCGGAAUUACUGGGCGUAAAGCGCGCGUAGGCGGAUCUGCAAGUCGGGGGUGAAAUCCCGAGGCUCAACCUCGGAACUGCCUUCGAUACUGCGGGUCUCGAGUCCGGGAGAGGUGAGUGGAAUUCCUAGUGUAGAGGUGAAAUUCGUAGAUAUCUGCAGGAACACCCGUGGCGAAAGCGGCGAGCUGGAUCACUACUGACGCUGAGGAACGAAAGCUAGGGGAGCAAACAGG
This 253-nucleotide ribosomal RNA is filed under the name uncultured bacterium. RNAcentral's name for it is "partial 16S ribosomal RNA". It matches the Rfam family "Bacterial small subunit ribosomal RNA", at positions 524 to 776 of the family's 1533-position model. The record is from RNAcentral.